UAGGGAAUCUUCCACAAUGGACGAAAGUCUGAUGGAGCAACGCCGCGUGAGUGAAGAAGGGUUUCGGCUCGUAAAACUCUGUUGUUAAAGAAGAACAUAUCUGAGAGUAACUGUUCAGGUAUUGACGGUAUUUAACCAGAAAGCUACGGCUAACUACGUGCCAG
RNAcentral lists this ribosomal RNA (164 nucleotides) under uncultured bacterium. RNAcentral describes it as "partial 16S rRNA". It matches the Rfam family "Bacterial small subunit ribosomal RNA", at positions 355 to 511 of the family's 1533-position model. The record is from RNAcentral.